CCCUUAGAUGUUCUGGGCCGCACGCGCGCUACACUGACGAAUGCAACGAGCUUAUAACCUUGGCCGAAAGGUCUGGGUAAUCUCCAAAUUUCGUCGUGAUGGGGAUAGAUUAUUGCAAUUAUUAAUCUUCAACCAGGAAUGCCUAGUAAGCGCAAGUCAUCAGCUUGCGUUGAUUACGUCCCUGCCCUUUGUACACACCGCCCGUCGCUCCUACCGAUUGAAUGGUCCGGUGAAGCGUUCGGACCGUGGCCUUUGGACGGUUCGCCGUCUGUUGGCUGCGGGAAGUUCGUUAAACCUUAUCAUUUAGAGGAAGGAGAAGUCGUAACA
This 327-nucleotide ribosomal RNA is filed under the name uncultured eukaryote. RNAcentral describes it as "partial 18S ribosomal RNA". It matches the Rfam family "Eukaryotic small subunit ribosomal RNA", at positions 1470 to 1796 of the family's 1831-position model. The record is from RNAcentral.